GGAAGGAUCAUUAACAAAUCUCAAAACAGUUUUGCCCAUGACGAGCCUGUUGAUACGAAAGUGUCUUUAGUUCGCUGUGGGUAUCACACAUACACAUAUUGAUUGACACAUUUCAGAAGACCAAGAACUUUAAUGUUAACAACUUUUAACAAUGGAUCUCUUGGCUCUUGCAACGAUGAAGAACGCAGCAAACUGCGAAACGUAAUGUGACCUGCAAUCUUCGUGAAUCAUCCAAUCUUUGAACGCAAUUUGCACCUCAUCACUUUUGUGACAAGGUAUACUUGUUUGAGUAUCACAAAAAACCUCACCCUCCCUUUUGGGUAUGUGGACUUGAGAGUUCUACCUUCCAGUAGUCUCUUUAAAAUCAGGUUUUGAAGUCUCAGCAUGAGAUGACUAUUGGGAUAACAUCCUAACAAUAGUUGUUGCUUUGACUUGAACUCUUUAAUGGGUACAAAACCACCUGCUUGUUAUAUCGUAAGGUAUAAUAAGCACCGCUUUGAAGUUGAUCUCAAAUCAAGUAGGGAUACCCGCUGAACUUAAGCAUAUCAGUAAGCGGAGGAAAAGAAACUAACAAGGAUUCCCCUAGUAACGGCGAGUGAAGCGGGAAGAGCUCAAAUUUAAAAUCUGGUGCUCGUAUGAGUACCCGAGUUGUAUUUGAAAGGGUCAUCUUUUGUAACCGAAUGUGGUCAAAGUUUUCUGGAAAGGAACAACAUAGAGGGUGACAUUCCCGUCUGGGCCAUGUUUUGGAAGCAGUAAAAAGAUGUCCCAAAGAGUCGGAUUGUUUGGGAAUGCAGUCCAAAAUGGGUGGUACAUUUCAUCUAAGGCUAAAUAUUGGCAAGAGACCGAUAGCGAACAAGUACCGUGAGGGAAAGAUGAAAAGAACUUUGAAAAGAGAGUUAAAUAGUACGUGAAAUUGUUAAAAGGGAAACGAUUGAGACCAGUGAUGCUGUGAUUCUGAAGCUUUGCCCUUCGGGGUGGGGUGGUUGGGUCAUUUGCAAGUCGACGCUCCUUUGGUUUUUUGGAUAAGACUUUUGGAAAGGUGGCUCCGUCUUCGGGCGGCUGCUUUAUAGUCCAAUUGGGAUACAGAAAACUGGAGGAGACUCGUCCCGAAAGGGGAAAGAAUUAUUGUAUGUAACUAGCAGCCUAAGGGCUCGUUAGAAGCUUGAUAAUUCCUGUCGACGAAAUGGUCUUAAACGACCCGUCUUGAAACACGGACCAAGGAGUCUAACAUCUAUGCGAGUAUUUGAGUGGCAAACUCGAAUGCGUAAAGAAACUGAACGCGUGGGACUGGCAUUCCUACGGGAAAGCCAUGCACCAUGGGCCGGUUCUUGUCUUUGACUUGGAUUGCGCUAGAGCAUAUCUGUUGGGACCCGAAAGAUGGUGAACUAUGCCUGAAUAGGGUGAAGCCAGUGGAAACUCUGGUGGAGGCUCGUAGACAUUCUGACGUGCAAAUCGAUGUUCAAAUUUGGGUAUAGGGGCGAAAGACUAAUCGAACCAUCUAGUAGCUGGUUCCCUC
RNAcentral lists this unclassified non-coding RNA (1516 nucleotides) under uncultured fungus. RNAcentral describes it as "sequence contains 18S rRNA gene, ITS1, 5.8S rRNA gene, ITS2, 28S rRNA gene". The stretch from base 504 to 1516 matches the Rfam family "Eukaryotic large subunit ribosomal RNA", at positions 1 to 961 of the family's 3401-position model. The record is from RNAcentral. Lineage: Eukaryota; Fungi.